CGUGUAAAAUUUAGACCAGUGACCUAUCAAAAUGAGCAAGUCUUCAAUACAGUUAGCAUUAACAUGAUUAAGAAACUACUCCAUUGAUUCUACAAAAACAGAUGCCAACAAUGACAACUUGUUAGAUUUAAAUUUGUUUUAUGAAUUUAUUUCAAUCUUAAUCAUCAAUUUCUUCGUCUGUUGAAACCUUUAAGAUUUUUUUUUCUCAGUAUUUUUUUUGUUUUUUUAAAGCGACGGAACACCACUACUAACCGUGUAUGAAAUAAGCCCCGCCUCCCUACUACCUUUUAUGGAAUAUAAAGGGACGUAACUCCACUACUAACCGUGUAUG
RNAcentral lists this long non-coding RNA (331 nucleotides) under Mytilus galloprovincialis (Mediterranean mussel). Lineage: Eukaryota; Metazoa; Mollusca; Bivalvia; Mytilida; Mytilidae. The record is from RNAcentral.